This 440-nucleotide ribosomal RNA is filed under the name uncultured bacterium. Its description in RNAcentral is "partial 16S ribosomal RNA". It matches the Rfam family "Bacterial small subunit ribosomal RNA", at positions 338 to 795 of the family's 1533-position model. The record is from RNAcentral.
CCUACGGGAGGCAGCAGUGGGGAAUAUUGCACAAUGGGGGAAACCCUGAUGCAGCAACGCCGCGUGAGUGAAGAAGUAUUUCGGGAUGUAAAGCUCUAUCAGCAGGGAAGAAAAUGACAGUACCUGACUAAGAAGCCCCGGCUAACUACGUGCCAGCCGCCGCGGUCAUACGUAGGGGGCAAGCGUUAUCCGGAUUUACUGGGUGUAAAGGGAGCGUAGACGGCUGCGCAAGUCAGAAGUGAAAGCCCGGGGCUCAACCGCGGGACUGCUUUUGAAACUGUGUAGCUAGAGUGCAGGAGAGGUAAGUGGAAUUCCUAGUGUAGCGGUGAAAUGCGUAGAUAUUAGGAGGAACACCGGUGGCGAAGGCGGCUUACUGGACUGUAACUGACGUUGAGGCUCGAAAGCGUGGGGAGCAAACAGGAUUAGAUACCCCUGUAGUC